AGUGAACGCUGGCGGUAGGCCUAACACAUGCAAGUCGAACGGCAGCACAGUAAGAGCUUGCUCUUACGGGUGGCGAGUGGCGGACGGGUGAGGAAUACAUCGGCAUCUACUUUUUCGUGGGGGAUAACGUAGGGAAACUUACGCUAAUACCGCAUACGACCUACGGGUGAAAGCAGGGGAUCUUCGGACCUUGCGCGAUUGAAUGAGCCGAUGUCGGAUUAGCUAGUUGGCGGGGUAAAGGCCCACCAAGGCGACGAUCCGUAGCUGGUCUGAGAGGAUGAUCAGCCACACUGGAACUGAGACACGGUCCAGACUCCUACGGGAGGCAGCAGUGGGGAAUUUUGGACAAUGGGCGAAAGCCUGAUCCAGCCAUGCCGCGUGGGUGAAGAAGGCCUUCGGGUUGUAAAGCCCUUUUGGUGGGAAAGAAAAGCAGCAUGUUAAUACCCCGCUGUGCUGACGGUACCCAAAGAAUAAGCACCGGCUAACUUCGUG
This 492-nucleotide ribosomal RNA is filed under the name uncultured bacterium. RNAcentral's name for it is "partial 16S ribosomal RNA". It matches the Rfam family "Bacterial small subunit ribosomal RNA", at positions 29 to 507 of the family's 1533-position model. The record is from RNAcentral.